This 468-nucleotide ribosomal RNA is filed under the name uncultured bacterium. Its description in RNAcentral is "partial 16S ribosomal RNA". It matches the Rfam family "Bacterial small subunit ribosomal RNA", at positions 28 to 507 of the family's 1533-position model. The record is from RNAcentral.
GACGAACGCUGGCGGCGUGCCUAACACAUGCAAGUCGAACGGAAAGGCCCUGCUUUUGUUGGGUGCUCGAGUGGCGAACGGGUGAGUAACACGUGAGUAACCUGCCCUUGACUUUGGGAUAACUUCAGGAAACUGGGGCUAAUACCGCAUAGGAGCUCCUGCUGCAUGGUGGUGGUUGGAAAGUUUCGGUGGUUGGGGAUGGACUCGCGGCUUAUCAGCUUGUUGGUGUGGUAGUGGCUUACCAAGGCUUUGACGGGUAGCCGGCCUGGGAGGGUGACCGGGCACAUUGGGACUGAGAUAGGGCCCAGACGGCAACGGGAGGCAGCAGUGGAGAAUAUUGCACAAUGGGCGGAAGCAUGAUGGAGCAACGCCGGGUGCGGGAUGACGGCCUUCGGGUUAUAAACCGCUUUCGACUGUGACGAAGAGUGAGUGACGGUAAUGGAUAAAAAAGCAACGGCUAACUACGUG